This is a long non-coding RNA of Zootoca vivipara (common lizard), 921 nucleotides long. RefSeq lists it as uncharacterized. NCBI's taxonomy places the organism in Eukaryota, Metazoa, Chordata, Lepidosauria, Squamata, Lacertidae. The record is from RefSeq and is a predicted model, not a curated record.
UUCAUCACUCUCUCUAACCCACCACCAGCAAGAAGUUACGUGCAGAGCUACAAAUUUCCUCAAGUUGACUCCAGUUUCUAUUCCAACUACUUACCAGAAAAGGCCAUCUGUGUAUUGCUGGGAAAAGUAUAAAGUUCCCAACUGAGCAUUCUGCCUCGGCCUUAUGAUAAUGAUGAAAACCCGAUAUGUUCUUCUGUCUCUCUUCACAUUCACAAUCUUUCUCAAUCCAGGAAAAACUGAAAUCCGUGAUACAGCAACAUGUCAUUUAUUCAGUGCUGUGUGCUUCCCGGUUGUGUGUACUCCGCCACGUUUCCAGAUCGGAGAAUGUCGUCCGUUUGUGUUCUGCUGUGCAAUUGCUGCCUAUGAGUGAUGGGAAGACACGAGAUCUCUGCUUAAGGAAUCAACAAUUCCAGCCUUAUCACAACCGUUGCCAAGAAUGCACUUUUGGCUCUUCUGCAGCUGAAAGACCAGAAAUAAAUCUCUGCUGGGAAUGAGUUAAAGAUCCCAUCUUAACAACAACAACAACAAGGACAACAAGGACAAUAAUACAAAUCAGAAGGGACAAACAGUUCAUCAUGUCCCUUGCUUUCUGAAUAUAGUUAUUAGAUGAUGGUGGUUCAUUCAUAUAUAUAUAUAUAUAUAUAUAUAUAUAUAUAUAUAUAUAUAUAUAUGAAAAUGGGCCAAGUGCAAAUGGGUCAUAUGUUGAAGGGGAGGAAAAUCUGCAUUUUGUAGUUUGAAAAUAUAUUUUUCAUUUUCAUUGUAAAUUUUCUACAAUCAGACCAUAAAAUAUUGGGCUGGUUUAUUAUUACUAUGAUUAGCCCUACUUAUUAAUCACUUUUCUUUGACAAAAAGAAAGCCAAAGAAACUUAAGAAAUAGUGCAAAUAUUAUCACCAGCAGAAUACCAUUCAAAAUAAAAACCU